UACGUAGGUGACAAGCGUUGUCCGGAUUUACUGGGCGUAAAGAGCGCGCAGGCGGUCGAUCAAGUCGAGUGUGAAAGCCCCCGGCUCAACUGGGGAGGGCCAUUCGAAACUGAUCGACUUGAAGGCGGGAGAGGGUAGUGGAAUUCCCGGUGUAGUGGUGAAACGCGUAGGUAUCGGGAGGAACACCAGUGGCGAAGGCGACUACCUGGCCUGUUCUUGACGCUGAGGCGCGAAAGCUAGGGGAGCAAGCGGG
This 253-nucleotide ribosomal RNA is filed under the name uncultured bacterium. RNAcentral's name for it is "partial 16S ribosomal RNA". It matches the Rfam family "Bacterial small subunit ribosomal RNA", at positions 524 to 776 of the family's 1533-position model. The record is from RNAcentral.